GUGAAAGGGCCAGAUCAAAACAAUAUCUCACCUUCUUUGGUUUGCAUGUUUUUACAUAGGUGGAAAACAAACUUUCUGAGAUGGAUGGGCCCUGAAUUAGACUGCUUACUUGGAGAACCAUGCCCUGGUGCCAGAAAGGUUGGGGACCGCUGCCUUGGAGGGAAGGCCACUGUCUUGGAAGGAAGGUCCCAGAAGGCAAUCAAGAUGUGAUACUGGGCAGUAAGGAGACCUGGAAGGAGCUGAUUUGGUGAGAAAAGGAGAGCGUUUUCAGAUUGGUUUUGUAUUUUGGAGCUUGAAUAUAUUAACAAAAUAUUAAUCAAUUUUGAUUUAGUGCAUUUUUUAGGUACUUACAGAGUUUGAGUAGCAAGGAAAGGAGCCCCAGGUAGGGGAAGGGUCAAGAGCAAAGGCAUAGAAGGUGGAUGCAGCAUAUAUGAGGAAGUGGGGUAGGACCCCCAGCUUCUGGUCUCGGCCCUGCCAGUGACUUACUCUUUGUCUCGAGCAGCCCGUUUUCAGCCCUGAGUCUCUGUUUCCAUCUUUACAGUGGGCACAAGUGGAGACAGUAAUGCUAUCUCAUCUACCUGUUAUAAAAGGGAAAGGUAAUCACAUAUGUGUAUUUGAAAUGUUUGGCACACGAUAGGGGCUCAACAUCGUUACGGAGCUCCUAUGGGCCCCCAUUUCCCAGCAGUGAGGGGCAGCCCCGGAUGUCCAAACUGGCAGGUGUGCCAUGACCCAUGGCAAUCCCCUGGCCUCCAAGAAACUGUAGAACAAGCUUUACAACAUAUGGUCCUCGGCUCCUGAUCUCCUCAACAGGUUCCUGUAUACCUGUCUCUUCUUUAGUUCUCAUGAGCAAAUGGCAUGUAAUUCUGUAGCUUUUCAUUUUUGCACAGGACUCAGAACUACUCACCGGUGAGGUCAGAUAAUAUAUAGAGAAACUAAUUUACGUCUUGUUCUUGCUGCCAAAACUGAGAGGUACUGCUGAUGGGGGAGACCCUCUGAUCUGAGGGGUGGGUUUACUUUCCUCUGGGAUUGUCAGGAGCCCACAGGCCCAGAGCAAGGAUACUCUAUGGAGUGGGACCUGCCAGUGUAGGAGACACAAGAGAUGUGGGUUUGAUCCCUGGGUCAGGAAGAUCUUCUGGAGUAAGAAAUGGCAACUCACUCCAGUAUUCUUGUCCGGAGUCCAUAGACAGAAGAACCUGGCAGCUACAGUCCAUGGGCCUGCAAAGAGUUGAACAUGACUGAGUGCACCUGCAAAGGUCCAGGGCACUUUGGAGUCUGCAUCUCACUACAUAGCACAUAAAUAAAUAUAUACAAAUAUAUAUAUAAAUAUAUAAA
RNAcentral lists this long non-coding RNA (1332 nucleotides) under Bos indicus x Bos taurus (hybrid cattle). Its description in RNAcentral is "lncRNA (ENSBIXG00005012939.1)". The record is from RNAcentral. Lineage: Eukaryota; Metazoa; Chordata; Mammalia; Artiodactyla; Bovidae.